RNAcentral lists this ribosomal RNA (274 nucleotides) under uncultured bacterium. RNAcentral's name for it is "partial 16S ribosomal RNA". It matches the Rfam family "Bacterial small subunit ribosomal RNA", at positions 523 to 796 of the family's 1533-position model. The record is from RNAcentral.
AUACGGAGGGUGCAAGCGUUACUCGGAAUCACUGGGCGUAAAGCGCGCGCAGGCGGCUAUUUAAGUUGGAUGUGAAAGCCUACGGCUCAACCGUAGAACUGCAUCCAAAACUAUCUAGCUAGAGUGUGAGAGAGGAAGAUGGAAUUAGUUGUGUAGGGGUAAAAUCCGUAGAGAUAACUAGGAAUACCAAAAGCGAAGGCAAUCUUCUGGAACACUACUGACGCUGAGGCGCGAAAGCGUGGGGAGCAAACGGGAUUAGAUACCCUAGUAGUCC